GACGAACGCUGGCGGCGUGCUUAACACAUGCAAGUCGAGCGGUAAGGCCCUUUCGGGGGUACACGAGCGGCGAACGGGUGAGUAACACGUGGGUGACCUGCCCUCAGCUCUGGGAUAAGCCUGGGAAACCGGGUCUAAUACCGGAUAUGACUCCAUGACGCAUGUUGUGGGGUGGAAAGCCUUGUGCGGCUGAGGAUGGGCCCGCGGCCUAUCAGCUUGUUGGUGGGGUGANGGCCUACCAAGGCGACGACGGGUAGCCGGCCUGAGAGGGCGACCGGCCACACUGGGACUGAGACACGGCCCAGACUCCUACAGGAGGCAGCAGUGGGGAAUCUUGCGCAAUGGGCGAAAGCCUGACGCAGCGACGCCGCGUGAGGGAUGACGGCCUGGU
Molecule: ribosomal RNA, 391 nt
Filed under: uncultured bacterium
Lineage: Bacteria
Description: bacterial SSU rRNA
Rfam family: Bacterial small subunit ribosomal RNA
Source: RNAcentral